This 254-nucleotide ribosomal RNA is filed under the name uncultured bacterium. RNAcentral's name for it is "partial 16S ribosomal RNA". It matches the Rfam family "Bacterial small subunit ribosomal RNA", at positions 524 to 776 of the family's 1533-position model. The record is from RNAcentral.
UACGUAGGGUGCAAGCGUUUGUCCGGAAUUAUUGGGCGUAAAGAGCUCGUAGGCGGUUUGUCGCGUCUGCUGUGAAAACCCGAGGCUCAACCUCGGGCCUGCAGUGGGUACGGGCAGACUAGAGUGAUGUAGGGGAGACUGGAAUUCCUGGUGUAGCGGUGAAAUGCGCAGAUAUCAGGAGGAACACCGAUGGCGAAGGCAGGUCUCUGGGCAUUAACUGACGCUGAGGAGCGAAAGCAUGGGGAGCGAACAAG